AACCCAUGGUGAGGGCACCUUCUCAAUAAAUCUUUAUAUCUCUCUCAUGCAUAAUAAAGUGUUUCUAAAUCCAUCUGCACAAAAGAAGAGAUAUCAUUCCUUAACUU
Molecule: non-coding RNA, 107 nt
Organism: Gossypium arboreum
Lineage: Eukaryota; Viridiplantae; Streptophyta; Magnoliopsida; Malvales; Malvaceae
Source: Rfam